This 930-nucleotide ribosomal RNA is filed under the name Triticum aestivum (bread wheat). RNAcentral describes it as "partial small subunit ribosomal RNA". The record is from RNAcentral. Lineage: Eukaryota; Viridiplantae; Streptophyta; Magnoliopsida; Poales; Poaceae.
AUGCAGCGACAGCGCUCCGUCGUCAAUGGCGACGCCGAGGCAUGUCGUGUGCUCAUGACGGUCGCUUGGUGGUGGAAUCGAGGUGUAGAGUCCGUUCCACCGGUCUCUGACGAGCCAGUGCGCCGUGCCCCGGCGCACGACGGCGUCGCCGUCCACGACGGCGAGCAUGACGCUGCUGAAGCACACUAUCGGGGCGCCCCAGCUCGGCUCGGUGGACGAGUAAGUGCAGAGGUCGUAGUUCAACGUGUCGCGGUUGAAGACGAGGAACAGCACCUUGAAGAAGGCCGGGCGGCGGCGGCCGCCGUCGGCGAAGGUCACCACGGCGCAGCUGUUCAUGCGGAAGUCGAAGCGGCAUCGCAGCGGCGGCAGCUCGUCGCACGUGCCGGCGAUCAGGUCGCACACGGCCAGCCGGACGCCUCCGGGGACCUCGGUCGGCGCGUCGAUGAGGCGCACGAGGAGGAGGCCGUCGCCCGACACGAACGGCACCGCGUCGUCCAGCAGGCCCGCGGCGCACGAGACGAAGGAGCGCAGGGAGCGGCACGCGCGGCCGAGCGGGCUUCCGCGCGCCGGGACGAGUGCCGGAGCGGAGGCGACGGCCGGCCCUCGCGCCCUGUAGCUCCGCACCUGAACGAAGAAGCCGGCGAGGGCGGGCGGGUCCGGCCAGCGGCCGCGGAGGAAGGCGGGGUCGGACACGAGGCCCCGCCAUCGCUUGCACGCCACGGCGCAGCGGAAGAGGGCGGCGGCGCCGGCAACGCGCGCCAGGAUCUCGCGGACCACGUCUUCCGGGAACGUGGCCGUCUCCGUCGUCUUCUCCAUGCUCCCUCGGGCGACGCGACCGACGUCCAUGCGAUCGGAGGCAAAGCCGUGGCUCGGAUUUUUGGUUCGGGCCGUGCGCGCCACGCACCUCCGCCUCCGGUUAUAUACUACUAG